This 499-nucleotide ribosomal RNA is filed under the name uncultured bacterium. Its description in RNAcentral is "bacterial SSU rRNA". It matches the Rfam family "Bacterial small subunit ribosomal RNA", at positions 8 to 497 of the family's 1533-position model. The record is from RNAcentral.
AGAGUUUGAUCCUGGCUCAGAGUGAACGCUGGCGGCAUGCCUAACACAUGCAAGUCGAACGAAUUUUUGACAGUGUAUCGUCAGAGUUAGUGGCAAACGGGUGAGUAAUACGUGGACAAUCUUCCCUCGAGCGGGGAAUAACUCCGGGAAACCGGAGCCAAUACCGCGUGAGACCACGUCUCGGCAUCGAGAUGAGGUUAAAGCUCCGCAAGGGGCGCUUGAGGAGGGGUUCACGGCCUAUCAGCUAGUUGGCGGGGUUAAAGCCCACCAAGGCUACGACGGGUAACCGGUCUGAAAGGACGGCCGGUCACAAUGGCACUGAGACACGGGCCAUACUCCUACGGGAGGCAGCAGUGGGGAAUUUUGCGCAAUGGGGGAAACCCUGACGCAGCAAUGCCGCGUGGAGGACGAAGGUCUUCGGAUUGUAAACUCCUUUUGUCGGUGAAAAAUAACCCUGUGAAGAACAGGGAAUGAUUGUAGCCGGCGAAUAAGCCACGGC